Molecule: ribosomal RNA, 207 nt
Filed under: Phyllobacterium ifriqiyense
Lineage: Bacteria; Pseudomonadati; Pseudomonadota; Alphaproteobacteria; Hyphomicrobiales; Phyllobacteriaceae
Description: partial 16S ribosomal RNA
Rfam family: Bacterial small subunit ribosomal RNA
Source: RNAcentral
CCCCGCAAGGGGAGUGGCAGACGGGUGAGUAACGCGUGGGAAUCUACCCAAUUCUUCGGAACAACACAUGGAAACGUGUGCUAAUACCGAAUGAGCCCUUCGGGGGAAAGAUUUAUCGGAAUUGGAUGAGCCCGCGUUGGAUUAGCUAGUUGGUGGGGUAAAGGCCUACCAAGGCGACGAUCCAUAGCUGGUCUGAGAGGAUGAUCA